AUGACUCCCCUCAGACCCACAGAGCUGCAAGACGGUUUGUUCUGCAGCAAAAGGGGGACCAGGACUUUGCACGACGGUUUCCUCCUGCUCCUUCCUAGACCUGUCGCCAUCUCUGCUGGGCUACGAUCUCCUUUCAGGGUGGAUGAAUACCCUUUAUCAAUCUGAAUGUCUUAAAAGCAUUCUUGCUUGCUCUCUCUGUGGUAGGUGGUGUCUUAGCAAGUCCUGAGUUUUCCAAUGAACCCGAUUUUAAUAUGUGGUAUUUUUGUACGCCGAUCUGGUGUCUUGUCCUUUGUAUAUGCGGUAAUGUUGAUUUUAUGACUACUGUUAAAACACAUUUGCUAUGAUUAAAAUUCAUGAAAUGAUUUCAAAUAGACUCAUGUGUUGGUUUUCUUCCCCUCAACCUCACGAAGAGAGAAAAAAAAGCUGGCUGGAAUUUUCAUCAUCAGAGACUCUAAGAAUUUUAAUAGACUUGGGUCAUAAAGCAACAAGGAGCUCCUGAGCCAAGGAUUUUAAGUGGAGGUGACCUUUAAGUGGCUCCUCUGAGAAGCUAAAGAAUGCAUUUUAAUGAGUAAGUCCAAGUGUGUUUUUGUGCAGUUGGGGUUUUUGUGACUUCUGGUGGCCCCACCUUCAUCCUGUACCAUUUAGAAAUGAUGCUGUUUGGACCAUCUUUAUGUACCUUGUGCAGAACAAUUUCAUGCAGGUCCCUGUGUAGUGAAAAGUGCCACGACCUGGUCUCUUGGCUCUGUGUCUGGAAAAGCACCUUUUAACACAUUUUCCCAGUGAUCAGGACCCUGCACCUUCACUGUCGAAGGUUCAGGUUAAAUCUUUGCUUGGGGAAAUAGGAUCCCACAAGCCACCAAAAAACAAAACAAAACAAAAAAAAUGUUUUCUUCAGCGGGACAGACGGUGUUUGAAGAGCCUUUUUUUUUUUUUUUUUUUGAUAAAAAGCAUUCUGAUUGAAUAACUCAGUAUCCUAUCAGUGAACUGCAGUUCAGUUGAACAGGUGACCUAAUUAAGGGAUUAUCAAUGAUCAGGUAUGCAUGAAUGCUAGUGUUGGUAUGCCCUGGCUCUCUGG
This 1075-nucleotide long non-coding RNA is filed under the name Bos indicus x Bos taurus (hybrid cattle). RNAcentral describes it as "lncRNA (ENSBIXG00005021896.1)". The record is from RNAcentral. Lineage: Eukaryota; Metazoa; Chordata; Mammalia; Artiodactyla; Bovidae.